CUUGAAUCAAAAUUAAAUUUCACAAGUUCUAUAAUAAAUGUGGUCUUAAAAAUAUUCUUUCUAGUUUGUUUUGACAAAUUAUUUUCUCUUCCUACAGAAAGCAUAAAAUGCUUAAGUGACAACAAGUUUUCUACUAAAAGUGGCGAUUUACAUUGCGAUCUAUCUUGUCAGUGUCCAGACGAUGAUCAAAAGGAGGUCACUACCUUUUACGUCGGAUGUCAAAAAUGUUGUUGUGUUGGGAUCAAGUAUAAACGUCUUGAAAAAGUUCUUCAUGAGACCAACGAAAAACUGAAAUCUGUACAGCAGGGAUAUCGAAAUCUAACAGAAUAUUAUACCAUUUUAAAGAAUGUAUCUGAAGAGAAAACAAUAGCACUUUUUGAAAGCAACAAAAAACUGAAAUCUGCACAGCAGGAAUAUUGAAAUCUGACAGAAUAUUAUACCAUUUUAAAGACAAUAUAUGAAAAGAAUGCAAUAGCGCUUUAUGAAAGCAACAAAAGUCUUGAAUCUGCACUGAAAGAAAAUCAAAACUUAUCAGAAUAUUAUAUCAAUCAAAAGAAAAAAUUAAAAGAAAAAGUUAGCCAAUUAGAAAUCAAAAUCUUUGAUUUUACCAUAGCUAUAGUUUUAGUAGCAUUUGGUUUGCUUGCAAUUAUUGGAGCUAUCAUUUUAAUUGUUUUUUUCAAAACUCAAAUGAAAACAUUUAUUUCUCGAUUUUUUCAUACUUCAAAUGUGACUACAGAUUCUCAAGGUCUUAGAGAUUCGAAAGGGAUUUCUAUG
This is a long non-coding RNA of Hydra vulgaris (swiftwater hydra), 774 nucleotides long. RefSeq lists it as uncharacterized. The record is from RefSeq and is a predicted model, not a curated record. NCBI's taxonomy places the organism in Eukaryota, Metazoa, Cnidaria, Hydrozoa, Anthoathecata, Hydridae.